ACGAGCCCGCGGGAUCCUCGGAGAGUAUGGAACCCUUCCCCUCCGCUCUCAGCCGGAGGCCAGCUGCGUCCAGCCGGGCUCGGUCUUCUGAACACCGAUUUCAAAUCAGGUCCUCGGGGCCCAGCGUCACUUAGGGAAGUGGUGGCAUUUUGUGGUAAGGACGCACACUUGUCAGGUUGGGGGAGGCAGCCUGAGUCGUGGGCCGCGCACCCCGGGAGCAGUGCCGUUAGACCGUGGGACGCGGGCACUGGAGAGGCUACUGCACCGCCCUCCGCAAAUUACCUCCCCGGGGCGGGGGCGCGGCCGCUGCUAAGGAUUUUUGCAUACCCCUGACCCCACCUGAGAAUCCCGGCCUCCCAUCUUCCGGUCUCUCUGACUCUAGGUUGCUGCUAAAUCACGGAGAGCAGCCUUGGCGCUGCCGGUCCCAACUUGAUCCAAGGAGCCUUGAGAAGGAGAUGAGAUUCAGUACCAGGGGCCGGCCGUGGCUCCCAUCCUCCGGAAUCUGCAAAAUGGCUACUUCUUCAGAAAUAAUGGGGAGAGGGAUGGCAAGAGGCCAGAGAUCAAGGCCCUCGAGUAUUAACUUGAGCAUUUGGGCACAAAAUAGACACUUUUGGAUUUUCCCGUCUUUUCCAACACCAAGGAUGAGAUUAUCAAAAGAUGUGUUAAAUUAAUUUGUACCGGCCGGGCGCGGUGGCUUACGCCUGUAAUCCCAACACUUUGGGAGGCCGAGGCGGGCGAAUCACAAGGUCAUGAGUUCGAAACCAGCCUGGCCAAUAUGGUGAAACCCCCGUCUCUACUAAAAAUACAGAAAUUAGCCGGGAGUGGUGGCGUACGCCUGUAGUCCCAGCUACUCUGGAGGCUAAGGCAGGAGAAUCGCUUGAAUCCGGGAGGUGGAGGUCGCAGUGAGCCGAGACCGGGCCACUGCACUCCAGCCUGGGAGACAGAGCGAGACUCUGUCUCAAGAAAAAAAAAAAAUCAAUUUGUACCAUUCCUUGCCCCACCCUGCCGAACUUAUUGAAAGAGCAUCGCUUUCCUCACUUUUCUCCUCUAACAGAAAAGCACUUAGAUGAAGCUACAGGGAGCCAGAAUUCUUUUGACUUGGUGGGUACCGGAGGAUUGGAAGAAUCUAGAUUGAGUAUUCCUUGGCCUUUGGGGAGCUUGCUCUAUGCAAAGUCACCCAGGAAAUGAUACUCCCCCCACUGUGAAACACUAGCUAGAGAUGAUAGACAAAAAGCACAUUUGUUGUAAUCUCCCUUUGACGGGAUUCAGGUUGGGAUAGAUGUCGAAGCAGCUGCUUCUAGGUAGUCAACGAAGAUGUCAACUAGUAAAUGACAACAGACAAGGAUGAGCACAGCAGAGCUGUACGAUUCUAGAUAUCAAAAAGAGCAAGCAGUCUGUUGUACUCACCAUCGCAUCCUCAGCAGCUGCCCAGUGCCCGGUUUUAACUUAGUGCUCAGUGUAUGUGUCAGGUUUGAAUCCCAAUUCUGAUACUACCUGUGCUACUCUCUUCACCUCUCUGAGUCUGUAAAGGAUUAUUUAAGAAUUAAAUGAAACAACAUACAGAAAAGUGUCCUGCAUGUAUAUUUAGUGCCUAACAAAUAUUGGUUGAACGUCGAAAGUGGCAAGGAGGCUCAGUAUGUUCUUAUACGCUUUGCCUCCCUUCUCCUGAGCAAGCAUGUCCUUGCCCAGCUCAUCUGCUUCUCUCACCACUUUUGCCCUCACUCCCUCCACCUGUCCUCCAAAUGACUCAAAAUAAUCUGCACUAUUUAUUAUGCAUCUACUAUGUUCCAAGACAAUGAGGGUCAGCUGAGCCCGCAUUGCAGGAUGGAAAUUUCCAACUAUGUUCUGUUUACAGCUAAUGAUAUUUGCACCUAAUGCAAAGGUUUACAGACUUUACUGUUAUAGAAUCAUUUGGAAUACCUGUUGAAGAUGCAGACACCCACCUUACCAUACCUCCUAUUGCUAAGAUUACGCUUGAAAGGAUCUGAGGUAGGGGCUCUGGAUCUGCAUUUUUUAUUUUUUACAUCUCUAUACAUUAUUUUACAUAAAUGUAUAAAUGGAGUCAUGACAUACAUAUUGAAUUUUUCACUUACAAAAAUUUUUAUUCCGUGUAUUCCCUCUUCUCUUCCCCUACAUUAACAACCUAGUACAUUUCUUUAAAUAUUCUUGUAAUAGUGUAUAUCUGCACUUACAUAAAAUAACAUGUAAUUGUAUAAAAACAAUACAUAUUCAUGCAGAUAUGCAUACACUCUAAUACUGAGCUUUGGCAUUGUCUUGAAAAAGUUAGAUCAUAUGUAUAUUUUUCUGCAGCUGUUUUUCUCAAUACGUAUGGCAGAAUUUCUCAGCAAGAUGUGCAUUGUCAGAGAGACAGUCUUAAGGUUUCUUCCCCUAGUAUGCCACAUAAAUAUUAUCACUUUUUAUGUGUAGCAUGCCUAUAGAGUGAAAAGGGAAGCAUGGCCUAAUGGAAACCAUAUAUCUGAUUCAUUAUUCUUAACAACUGCAAAAAUCAGCAUAUGUAAAGGAUCUCAGGUGAUUUUUUUUUUUUUUUUUUUUGAGACCGAGUCUUACUCUGUCACCCAGGCUGGAGUGCAGUGGCACAAUCGUGGCUCACUACAACCUCCACCUCCCUUGUUUAAGCAAUUCUCCUGCCUCAGCCUCCCGAGUAGCUGGGAUUACAGGCAUGCACCACCACACCCGGCUAAUUUUUGUAUUUUUAGUAGAGAUAGGGUUUCACUUUGUUUGCCAGGCUGGUCUCGAACUCCUGACCUCAAAUGAUCCAGGCCACCUCUGCCUCCCAAAGUGCUGGGAUUACAGGCAUGAGCCACCAUGCUUGGCCAACCUGAGAUGACUUUGGUGGUGGCUGAUCACACUUUUGGGAACACUGAUAUGAGGACAUGCAGACAUAUGGUCCAUGGGUGAGGGUCUUAAUCUGUUUGUGUUGCUAUAAAGGAAUACGGGAGGCUGGAUAAUGUAUGAAGAAAAGAGGAUUAUUUGACUCAUGGUUCUGCAGGCUGUCAGCUUCAGAUGAGGGCCUUAUGCUGCUUCCACUCAUGCAGAAGGCAAAGGGGAGACUUCGUGCAGAGAUCACAUGGCUACAGUGCAAGAUGGGGCAUCAGGGGAGAGAAAGGGAGAAGCUGACUCUCGGUUCUUUUGAACAACCUGUUCUCAAGGAUGAGAACUCACUCUCAGGAGAAUAGCACCAAGCCAUUUGUGAGGAAUUCAUCCAUAUGGCCCAAACACCUCCCACCAGGCCCCAACUCCAGCACUGGGACUCAUAUUUCAACAUGACACUUUGCAGGUCCAAAGCCAUACCCAAACCAUAGCAGGGAGCUUAUUAAUUCAUUAGCCUCCAUGAAAUUUAGAAUUAUAGAAUGUGCGAGCUGAGAAGGAACCUCAGCCUCUCUCAUGAUUGAAGAAACUGGAGUUUGGACAGGUUAAGUAAUUUGUCUCAGACACCAAGGAAGUGAAUGGGGAAACAGGGAACAGAACUCAGGUCUCUUGACUAAUGUUUUAGACAUUAAAUAAAUAGGUUAUUAAAUGAAUAGAAUUAUUCUAUAUGAAUAAUUUCAUAUAGAAGGAAGAAAUGCUAUGUGCAAGGUAGAGAGAAAUUAUACAAGAAGCCUCAUUUGGUGCAGGAGUUCAUUUUACGGAAGGUACCUCCUAAAUUUGGUAGAACAAAGACUCAAAACCAGUCUAUGCCCUCUCUCCUGCAAACCAACCGUUUGAUCUUGAACAUAUCAACUCACCUUUCUAACCAGAGUUUCUACUCUAGUACAUCAUUCAAGUAUUUCUUGAGCAACUAAAACAGUGAUGUUGUGGAUAAAGCAGUAAACCAGGUAUAAAGCGUAAGGCCUGCUCCAGAAAACUUCCUAAAAGGCCUAGAACAUGGCUAAAGGAUAUCUCAGAUCCUUUGGACAGUUCUAACGUUCUAUUAAUCUGGGACAGUGGCUCACUCCUCCCUAACCCUGUUUCUUUUCCCCUCAGAGUGUGCCUCCCAUCAUCAUCAUGCUGCUUCUCCUCAGACUGACACUUUUAAUUGGUGAACCUAUUGAGCAGGGUCUAGAGUCUGAAUUCCUUGUUUUCUAAACUGCCUAGCUUAUAGCUGGGGAAUGCUAGGAAAAUGCCAAGUUAGAUAUUUACGUUUCUUGCCUCAAAAGGUUCACUGGAUUCUGGGUUCACUGAUGGAUUAGAACUGAAAUCCAUCAUCUCUUACAGUGGGUCUAGUCUCCAGAUUUGCUGCUGUGUCUGCUGAUACCCUCGACGCCCCAGCACCAGCCUAUCUGGCUCCCUAUUCUGCCACUGGCUACAUUUUCAGGCAAUAACAGAGGAGGUGCAGGCAUUGUGUGGUAGGCCAAAUAAUCCUCCCCUCCCCCAAAGAUGUCCAUGCUAUAAUCCCUAGAAUCUGUAAAUAUGUUACCUUACAUGGCAAAAGAGACUUUGCAGGUGUAAUUAAGGUUAAGAACCUUGAGAGGAGGGGAUUAUCCUGGAUUAUUCAAGUAGGCCCAAUGUAAUCACGAGUCCUUGAAAGUGGAAGAGGAAAGCAGAAGAGUUGCUGACUUUGAUGAUUGAGGAAGGGGUUCUUAAACUAGGGCAUGUGAGUGGCUUCUGAAGCUGGAAAGAACCCUCAGCUGACAGCCACCAAGGAAACAGAGAUUUCAGUCUUACAGACUCAAGGAACUACAUUCUACCAAUGAUCAAUGUACAAGGAAAUAGAUUUUCCCUCGAGCCUCCAGAAAGGAACCUAGCCUUGCUGACACUUUGAUUUUAGACUGGUGAAAUUCAUGCUGAACUUAUGACCUACAGAGUUGUAAAAUAAAUAAAUAAAUUUCUUGAUUGUGCAGAUUAUUUUGUUAAAAAAAGAAAAAAACCAAAUUUUUGUAUUAAGAUGCUAAAUUGGUAGUAAUUUGUUUCAGCAGACAGAAAAUCUAAUACAGAUGCUUCUUGAUUUACAAUGAGGCUAUACCCUGAUAAUCCCCAUCGUAAGGUGAAAAUGCAUUUAAUACCCCCAAUAAACCCAUUGUAAAGUCGAAAAAUCAUAAAUCAAACCACUGCAAGUCAGGGACCACCUGUCCACACCACUGUGGUGUGGAAAGUAGAAGAAAGAAAAGGGACGUACACUCAGUUUCCUGGUGUGCCAGGAAACUUCCAAGCAGCAGAACCAAGGGAAAAAUGCAAAGGGUGUUAAUGAAAAGAAAGUGAAUGUCAUUUGACUUGUCCUGAGUGAAGACCCUCAGUUACGGCCAACUUUAACUAUGUAAAUAGCAUGGAAACAGUAUUCUUUUUAAAAAGGAAUAUACAAACCAACUGUAUUUGGCUUCGAAUUCAAAGUUUACUAUUAAUAAAGGGAAAAAGCAGAUUUUCCACUCUUGCUCUUCCACAAAUUCUGCAAUACUCUCAGAAUGUGUAUUACUCUGUCAUAUAAUUGAUGUCAUCAUCAUAUAUAUUCCAAUUGGCCAUAGCACCUUGAAGGCAGGGUUUGUAUGUUUUUCAACAUUGUCACUCCAGCAUCUGACAUGGUGCGGCAAAUAAUUAGUGGAUGAAUGAAUAAAUGCCGCAGCUUCCAUUUGAGGCUUAACAUCAUCUUUGCUUCCAUUACUAAAAUACUAUUUGAAUGACUCUUCCCUCAUUGCAAAUGCUGUCUUCUUAAACGUUUUUAUUAAGUACUCCUUUGCCUAAAAACCUUUAUGAUCUCCUUGUCAGCUAUAGGAGAAACACUAAAUUCAGUAUCAUAUCACUCACGGUCCUUCCUCACAUGGCCUCAGUCUAUGCUUUCAGCCAUACCUUUCCCCCACUGGCUCUCUACAUGCAUUUAUUUAUGUAUCUGCUUCCCCUUCUCCUUUUUUUUCAAAUUUUAGGACUUGUAGUGCAACCCACUAGUCAGUCAUAAACUCAAUUUAGAAGGCUAUGACCAGCACAUUUUAAAAGAGAACAGAAAAUAUCCAAGUACGUGGCACACAAUAAACAGAAGCUGCACAAAACCUUUGUUUCAGUUGUGUGUACAUGCGUGUCACACUUAAAAUUUAUUUAUUGUGGUCAUGGCUCUAAACUGAGAAUUCCUCAAGGACAGAUUAUGUUUUAUUUUAUUAUGAUUGUUGGCUUUUAUUAUUCCCAGUACUUAUCACAGUGGCUGGUAAAACAAUUAUAACUUGUUUAUUUGUUGAAUGAACCAGACUGAACUAAGGGUAUUUUGGAGUUAAAGACUGUAGAGCUACACCAACAGCACAAAGUCAAGUAGUGUGGGUUUCCUCGAGGGAUCAAGGCAGUCUGCCUGUCUCCACAGGAUGCCCUCAGUUCUCCCACAUUAUCACAGCAUAUGUACUUGGGUCCCAACGGCAACUCCACUGCUGCCUCCCAAUCAAUUCACAAAUUGCUAUGGAACAUCUCUGGGGUAGGGUUCUGACCUAGAAGAAACCUGAAAUAUAGAGGUUUAGUCCUGGGACCAGGAUGAGGGUGAGGCCACAGAGGCUUCUAGGGCACCAAUUUUAAGGAGACAUUCACCCUCAGGGUCGAGCAAGUAGCAACCCUGCAUUCAGUCCUUUCCCUGUCUUCUAACCAAGUUGAUGAAAUCACACAAGCACAAAGAAGCACCAGGGGCUUUGCAAGAAGGCCAGCCUGGGUUCAGAUUCCUGAUCUGCUGCGUUCUGGGUUGUGCAACUCUUCAGGCAAAUUGCUUAUCCUCCCUAAUCCUCACGUUCCUCUCACCUCCUUCAUUACCACGCUAAUUCAAGCCAUCAACAUCUCUCACCUGGAUCACUGCCAUAGUCUCUUAACUAGCCUCCCUGCCUCCACCCUUGUCCUCCUACAAUUUAUUCUCCACACAGUGCCAAACUAAUUCUUUUAAAAUGUAAGUGAGGCCAGGCAUGGUGGCUCACGUCUGUAAUCCCAGUACUUUGGGAGGCUGAGGUGGGCAGAUCACCUGAGGUCGGGAGUUCGAGACCAGCCUGACCAACAUGGAGAAACCCCAUCUCUACUAAAAAUACAAAAUUAGCCAAGUGUGGUGAUGCCUGACUGUAAUCCCAACUACUUGGGAGGCUGAGGCAGGAGAAUCACUUGAACCCGGGAGGCAGAGGUUGUGGUGAGCCGAGAUCAUGCCAUUGCGCUCCAGCCUGGGCAACAAGAGCAAAACUCUGUCCCCUCAAAAAAAAAAAAAAAAAAAAAAGUAAAUGAGAACAUGGCCCUCAUCCACUCAAAGCCCUCUAAUAGUUUCCCAGCUGUAUCAGGAUAAAAGCUUGGGCCUUGCAAGUCCCUAUGGAUUCCAGCCCCUAUUGCCACUCUAACUUUAUUUCCUAUUCCUCUCCUUCGCAUUAUCUUGUUUCAGGCCCCCGGCCUCCUCACCACUUCACGUGUCCCCCAGGCGUGCUCCCACCACAGAGCUUUUUUCCUUUUGUUUCCUCUGCCUGGGUGCAGUUCCCGCCUCUUGACUGCAUGGCUCACACAUUCACUCAUCUCCUGCAAGUCUUUGCUCAAUUGUUACUUUCUCAGUAAGGCCCUUCCUAACCUCCCGUUAAAAAAUGUUAGCCCUCUACUCUCUAGCACUUCCUCCUUCCCUGCUGUAUUUUUCUCUAAAAUGCCUUGCACCAUUUGACAUACUCU
This 7593-nucleotide long non-coding RNA is filed under the name Homo sapiens (human). RNAcentral's name for it is "non-protein coding SCAMP1-AS1:8". Lineage: Eukaryota; Metazoa; Chordata; Mammalia; Primates; Hominidae. The record is from RNAcentral.